UACGUAGGGGGCAAGCGUUGUCCGGAUUUAUUGGGCGUAAAGAGCGUGUAGGCGGCCAGACAGGUCCGUUGUGAAAACUAGAGGCUUAACCUCUAGACGUUGAUGGAAACCGUCUGGCUAGAGUCCGGAAGAGGAGAAUGGAAUUCCUGGUGUAGCGGUGAAAUGCGCAGAUAUCAGGAAGAACACCCGUGGCUAAGGCGGUUCUCUAGUACGGUACUGACGCUGAGACGCGAAAGCGUGGGGAGCGAACAGG
RNAcentral lists this ribosomal RNA (253 nucleotides) under uncultured bacterium. RNAcentral's name for it is "partial 16S ribosomal RNA". It matches the Rfam family "Bacterial small subunit ribosomal RNA", at positions 524 to 776 of the family's 1533-position model. The record is from RNAcentral.